Molecule: long non-coding RNA, 772 nt
Organism: Felis catus (domestic cat)
Lineage: Eukaryota; Metazoa; Chordata; Mammalia; Carnivora; Felidae
Exons: 2
Source: RefSeq, a predicted model, not a curated record
AGGGUAACCCAGAAGCUCAGUAUGUAAAGGGGAAAGUCUCCGGCUGAGAAUGGACUAGGUGUGGGGCGGGAGGUCCUGGAAUCCCGCCUUUCUAGCUUCUCUUUGCCCCUGUGGUCUUGGAAGACGGGCUUGAGAAACCCCGGGGCUCUGGGGAAAACUUCAGCAGCAGAACACUUCAUUUUUUUUUCUUUCUCUGCCAGUCCACUAAAAGUUAUUAUUCUUUUCCCCCUGAAUCUUCUCGUCUUACCCACUUCAAACACAUUUCUUCUUAUUAAUGCCGCUUUGGCAGGAGCUGAUGCCACACUUAAUGGCCGAGCUGCCUUGGCUGACCUCGAUCUCGUUAUCCCGACCCGACGGGUACAGAAACAGGGACUUGGAGAGGGUAAAGGGACAGGAAGUGACAGACCCGGGAUCUGACACCAGAUCUCUCUGUAUGAUCCAGAACUCACGCUCUUCUUUGGACCCUGAUACUCGACUUCCAGAGUGGAGGAGUGGUCUGUACUUUUGAAAGUUGCUCUGCAUCUUUCGAUGUUUCCUCCCAGGAGGCGAAAUGAUGCGAUCAGCCCGGAUGAAGUGGGAAUCGUGAUUUCGGCGGACUCGACGGCCAGUCACAUUAGGAAAUGCCCCUUCACACUGAGAAACUGUCUAUGAAGAGAAGGCUCUACGUUUGGCAGUGAGGUUGUUCUCUUACCAUUACCCUGUCCCCCCUUUUUACUCAAGAUUAUUUGGCUGCAAGGGGAAGCAAUAUAAUAAAAAUAUCAGUCAGUCUCUG